AAUAUUGCUAAAAGCGGCGUAAAACUAAACUCACUCACUCUGGGUGAGGUAAAGGGAGGGACUCUGAAUAUUUGUUGACAUCUGCAAAUUUUUUCAAGCAACUUUGAAGUAUGCACUCCUUGAUUAUCUCCCUGAAAAUUGUAAACAUUUAUGGGUUUUUUUAGUUCGAGUGGAAAAAUUCAUUUGUUUUAUUUAAGAUUUUAUAUGAGCUUAAGGUGUAUUGGUUCCAUAGUUGAUUAAGAAGUUGUUUUAGUUUGGCCAUAUAUGGUAAAGUUGGUGAGCUACAGAUAACAUGCUAUCUCCUCAGUUGUUUGGAGACCGACAAUCACUGGGAUUCCAGAACAGUGCAUUUAAUAGGAUGGGCAGAACAUGUCCCAAGCACCUGUGAUUUAGAAUGCGACAAAGCCACGCGGAUGUGGCUUUAAGGUCAUUAAAUGUGACCAGGCA
Haliotis rubra (blacklip abalone) is the source of this 447-nucleotide long non-coding RNA. RefSeq lists it as uncharacterized. The transcript is spliced from 2 exons. The record is from RefSeq and is a predicted model, not a curated record. Lineage: Eukaryota; Metazoa; Mollusca; Gastropoda; Lepetellida; Haliotidae.